RNAcentral lists this ribosomal RNA (253 nucleotides) under uncultured bacterium. RNAcentral's name for it is "partial 16S ribosomal RNA". It matches the Rfam family "Bacterial small subunit ribosomal RNA", at positions 524 to 776 of the family's 1533-position model. The record is from RNAcentral.
UACGGAGGGUGCAAGCGUUGUCCGGAUUUAUUGGGUUUAAAGGGUGCGUAGGCGGCCCGGUAAGUCAGUGGUGAAAGCCUCCAGCUCAACUGGAGAACUGCCAUUGAUACUGCCGGGCUUGAGUACAGACGAGGCUGGCGGAAUUGAUUGUGUAGCGGUGAAAUGCAUAGAUACAAUCAAGAACUCCGAUUGCGUAGGCAGCUAACUAGGCUGUAACUGACGCUGAGGCACGAAAGCGUGGGGAGCGAACAGG